GUGAAUUGCAGAAUCCCGUGAACCAUCGAGUUUUUGAACGCAAGUUGCGCCCGAGGUCAAUUGGCUGAGGGCACGUCCGCCUGGGCGUCAAGC
RNAcentral lists this ribosomal RNA (93 nucleotides) under Sarcoglottis sp. US:3572653. RNAcentral describes it as "partial 5.8 ribosomal RNA". It matches the Rfam family "5.8S ribosomal RNA", at positions 67 to 154 of the family's 154-position model. Rfam says of the family: 5.8S ribosomal RNA (5.8S rRNA) is a component of the large subunit of the eukaryotic ribosome. Lineage: Eukaryota; Viridiplantae; Streptophyta; Magnoliopsida; Asparagales; Orchidaceae. The record is from RNAcentral.